GCUCCAGUGACCUAGUGGUUAGAGAAUCUGCCUCAGAUGCAGGGGUUAUGGGUUAGAUCCCUGGUUUGAGUCA
This is a non-coding RNA of Potamilus streckersoni, 73 nucleotides long. The record is from the annotation of a GenBank genome assembly. Lineage: Eukaryota; Metazoa; Mollusca; Bivalvia; Unionida; Unionidae.